Molecule: long non-coding RNA, 1536 nt
Organism: Cebus imitator (Panamanian white-faced capuchin)
Lineage: Eukaryota; Metazoa; Chordata; Mammalia; Primates; Cebidae
Exons: 2
Source: RefSeq, a predicted model, not a curated record
GAAGUUGCAGUGAGCUGGAUCUCACUACUGCACUCCAGCCUGGCGACAAGAGCGAGACUCCGUCUCAAAAAAAAAAAAAAAAAAAGGAGUUGUAGAGAUAUUAAAUCAUUCUGGAAUUCCUAAUUAUACUUUAAUUUUUAGACGUAAUUUUAGAUAAUUUAUUUCCAGUGUUUUGUGCAUGUUCUCAUUUGUUCUUUUUCUCAGUUGAAUGCAUCAACUGGUUUGCGUCCUGUGAGCAUCCAGUCAGUUGAAAUUAAAGAUUCCUCAUUUCUCGUGAUUUCCAUUCUUGUCUUGGUCUUGAAUUUAGAGACUGAUGGUUUUUAUGAUAUCAGCCAUUUGAUUGUUUUCAUUUUCUAUUUAAGAAAUAUAAAGAAAAAAUACAUCAAGAUGGCCAAAUUACUACACAGUGAGCACCAGCACAGUCUGAUAGCUGCAAAUGUCUAUUCUUCUGCUGUGUAUGAAUAUCCAGAAUCAGCAUAGGAAGUUGUUUAGGGUGUCAGAAUAUAAGGCACAGAAGUAUGGGUUGUUUGAAAGCCAAACAGGAAAAUUAAAAGCCUCCUGGAUUGAUAUUUCAUAAUAAUUGACAAUUAUUAUGAAAUUUAACAAAUUAAUUGAUUAUUAUGAACAAUAGUAUAGUGUGUUCUUGUUCAGAAGUUAUAUUUGACAAUGCAGAAGGAGGUAGUUUUAUGAAAGUUUCUUUGAAGAUUUUUCUUUUUAAUUUUGAAUCAGAUUAUACCAACAAUAAAUUUUGGAAGUUUUUAUGGCCUAUAAUGUUGUAAGUUCCAGAAUGAAAAGGUCUCUAAUAAUCUGAAUAAAUGUGGACAUGUAUAGCAGAGAGAACUGUGUAAAUUAUCUUGCAGAAUAAAAUAGAAGGGUCCUAAAUCACGUUAACUCAAACAUUGUAUACUAGUGUUGUGUUUAUUCUUUAGGUCCUUGUGCCUUAUUUGGUUUUGUGUAUUCAACGAACUGAAAUAUUUGGAAUUCCUAUUUCUAUGCAUUUGGUGGUCCAUAAGAUUUUGUCAAAUGUAAACCUAUGGUUUAAUAUGCUUUAAAAUACUUAGUCUAGAGAAUGAUUUCUCUUUAGUCAUUUAAAUGUUCUGAAAAUUCAAAUCUUUUGACAUACAUAAAGUUGGCACGGUGUAUCAUCUAGAGUCCUUACUGGUAUUCAGGAUGAAAAUUUUCAUGCUGCAGUGUUAAUUCUCAUUUUUCUCUCCCAUUUUCUUUCUCACUUUGAUAUGUUAAUACUGAUAAUGGAUAAAGGGUCAGUUUUUAUAAUAAAUGGUUUGGGAAAGGUAUUCAGAGGAACCACUGUUACUUACCUAAGGUUAUGGAGUAAACUAGCUUGGACCUUGGGCCACAGGGCAACUAGGAUUCACUCAUAACAACACAGUGCCCUAUAUUUCUUAACUCCUUGUUGCCAUUUGAAACUCUGUACUCUUAUGUUUAAAGGUUCUUUAUAGCCUGUUUUUUUUUUUCCCAGAAAGUUACAUUGCUUUGUAUAGAAAUAAAAGGCAUGAAAAUUUGCUUGUUAAAAAA